Molecule: unclassified non-coding RNA, 240 nt
Filed under: soil metagenome
Description: partial contains 5.8S ribosomal RNA, internal transcribed spacer 2, and large subunit ribosomal RNA
Source: RNAcentral
AACGCACGAGACCUGCGGACCUGCGGAAGGAUCAUUAUCGAGUUUUGACUGGGUUGUAGCUGGCCUUACGAGGCAUGUGCACGCCCUGUUAAUCCACUCUACACCUGUGCACUUACUGUGGGUUUCAGAUCGUGAAUUGGGCCUACGGGCUCGUGAAACGCAUCUGUGCCUGCGUUUAUUACAAACACUAUAAAGUAUCAGAAUGUGUGGGUUGCGAUGUAACGCAUCUAUAUACAACUU